Molecule: ribosomal RNA, 253 nt
Filed under: uncultured bacterium
Lineage: Bacteria
Description: partial 16S ribosomal RNA
Rfam family: Bacterial small subunit ribosomal RNA
Source: RNAcentral
GACAGAGGGUGCAAACGUUGCUCGGAAUUACUGGGCGUAAAGCGCGUGUAGGCGGAUACGCAAGUCAGAUGUGAAAGCCCUGGGCUCAACCUAGGAAUUGCAUCUGAAACUGCGAAUCUAGAGUACUAGAGAGGGAAGUGGAAUUCCUGGUGUAGAGGUGAAAUUCGUAGAUAUCAGGAGGAACAUCGGUGGCGAAGGCGGCUUCCUGGAGAGUAACUGACGCUGAGACGCGAAAGCGUGGGGAGCAAACAGG